GUUACAUUUGACAACGUUCGGAUUUGGUUGGAAAACAGAACGCAACAUUUUGUACGACGUCGUUGCCCACUCUCACCGCCAUUAUCGUCUUAGGUUAGCAAGCCCGAAAGAGUCGUAAAAAUAUCCAGCUUUCCUUCUAUCCGUUGCUCAGAAGCUUCAGAGGGAGCUAUGGAAAGAGAAUUUUAGCUUCAAAGAUAAAGUGCGAAAAAGCUUCCUUGCCUGGACCUAGUCUACUUGUCCAUAAUCAUUGUUGCAAGUCUCAUGUUUGUUAAAUUGCCUCAAUGGCUUUCUCUUCAUGUUUCAAAUGCUACCCUUGGUUUCACCAUCACCCACACCUUGCUUUCUCUUUCUCUAACAAACCCACCUCCAAUUCCACUCUUUCUGUCGCAUCCACGCGGCAACACCACUCGCUAAUCGCUACCCAAUCCUUCUCCUCCUCCAGUUCCGUUCCUCUUUCUUCCAACUUCACUCCGGAUCAACUCCUCGACACGCUCCGUCGCCAAAGUGAUGAAACUGCUGCUCUUCGCUUGUUUGAUUGGGCCUCCAAGCAGCCCAAUUUCAAGCCCGAUUCAUCCAUUUACGAGGAAAUCCUCCGUAAACUUGGUAAAGUUGGUUCAAUUAAUUCGAUGAAGGAAAUCUUACAGGAGAUGAAGGUUUCUGGUUGCGAGAUCAAUACAGGUACAUUGUUGAUUUUCAUUGAGUGUUAUGCGAAAUUUGAAUUAUACGAUGAAAUUCUUGGUAUUGUGGAAUGGAUGGAAGUAGAAUUCGGGUUGGAACCGGACACCCUUCUUUUUAAUUUCUUGUUGAAUGCUCUUGUCGACGUGAACAAGCUUAAAUUAGUGGAAACUGCUCAUUCUAGCAUGAUUAGUAGAGGAAUUAAGCCUGAUGUUUUGACUUUUAAUAUAUUGAUAAAAGCUUUGUGUAGAGCCCAUCAAAUUAGGCCUGCCAUUUUAAUGAUGGAGGAGAUGCCAAUUUAUGGUUUGUCACCCGAUGAGAAAACGUUCACUACUCUAAUGCAGGGUUUUAUUGAGGAAGGAAAUCUGGAUGGUGCACUGAGAGUAAAGGAGCAAAUGGUGAAUGCUGGGUGUACCGCGACCAACGUGACUGUGAAUGUUUUGGUUCAUGGGUUUUGCAAAGAAGGCAGAAUUGGCGAAGCACUGGGUUUUAUCAAUGACAUGUCAAAUGAGGGCUUCUUUCCAGAUAAGUUUACGUUUAAUACGGUGGUUAAUGGGUUGUGUAGGGCUGGACAUGUUAAGCACGCUUUGGAAGUUAUGGAUAUGAUGCUUCAAGAGGGGUUUGAUCCAGAUGUAUAUACGUAUAACUCUUUGAUUUCUGGGUUGUGUAAAUUGGGUGAAGUUGAGGAGGCAGUGGAUAUUCUUGAUCAGAUGAUUUCAAGGGAUUGUUCACCGAAUACUGUCACUUACAACACACUAAUUACUACAUUGUGUAAGGAGAAUCAAGUUGAAGAGGCUACUAAACUUGCUCGUGUUCUGACUAGUAAGGGGAUGUUACCUGAUGUUUGUACGUUUAAUUCUCUGAUACAAGGUCUGUGCUUGACCCGAAAUCAUGCCAUUGCCAUGGAACUUUACGAGGAGAUGAUGAAUAAAGGGUGCCAACCUGAUGAGUUUACCUACAAUAUGUUGAUUGACAGCCUCUGUUGCAGAGGUAAACUACAGGAAGCUUUGAGCCUACUUAAACAAAUGGAAUUAAGUGGCUGUGCGCGGAAUGUGAUAACAUAUAAUACAUUGAUUGAUGGGUUUUGUAAAAGCAAGAGAAUUGAAGAAGCAGAGGAGAUCUUUGACCAGAUGGAGCUCCAAGGAGUUUCUAGAAAUUCAGUGACCUACAAUACCCUUAUAGAUGGCCUUUGUAAGAGCAGGAGGGUGGAGGAUGCUGCUCAACUGAUGGACCAGAUGAUAAUGGAGGGAUUGAAGCCUGACAAAUUCACUUACAAUUCCAUGCUUACCUACUUCUGCAGGGCAGGGGAUAUAAAGAAAGCAGCAGACAUUGUGCAGACCAUGACUUCCAAUGGUUGUGAACCAGAUAUUGUCACAUAUGGGACCCUUAUUGGGGGAUUGUGCAAGGCUGGUCGACUUGAAGUAGCAAAUAAGCUCCUCAGAUCCAUUCAAAUGAAAGGCAUGGUUCUGACUCCUCAUGCUUACAACCCUGUAAUUCAAGCACUAUUUAAACGGAAAAGAACAAAGGAAGCCAUGAGACUUUUCAGAGAAAUGGAGGAAAAGGGUGGUCGUCCAGAUGCUCUCACAUACAAGAUCGUUUUCCGUGGACUGUGUAACUCUGGAGGACCAAUCGGAGAAGCUGUUGAUUUUGUGAUUGAGAUGACGGGAAAAGGAUUUUUACCAGAAUUCUCUUCAUUCUAUAUGUUGGCUGAGGGACUUUGUUCUUUAUCUAUGGAGGAGACUUUGAUUAGUCUUGUUGACAUAGUCAUGGAGAAAGCAGACAUCUCAGAAAAUGAAACAACCAUGAUAAGGGGAUUUCUCAAAAUUCGCAAGUUCCAAGAUGCAUUGGCCAAUCUUGGAGGCAUUCUUGACAGCAGGAAGUCCAAGAAAGGUUACAGAUGAAAAGAAUUUUGACACUGCUACUAGAGAAAAUGUUUAGGAAGAUGGAUGGUCUACUUGAUUGUACUGAGUUGGAACGUGAAGCAGUUCAUAGUUUUUCAUGAAUACUUAGCAGAGGACAUGCCCUUAUCAGAAUAUACAUACCGGAGAUCGGGAGCUUAGGAGUUGCUUUGAUCUUUUUAUUGUAUGGCUGUAAAAUUCUGGAACACGCUAAUGCAUGUUAAAACUAUAUAUUAGCAUUAUUUUGACUCCUAAAAUUAGGAUUCAAAGUUAAUUAAGCUCCUAAACAAAUUUCAGGGUUAUUUCUAUACUUU
RNAcentral lists this unclassified non-coding RNA (2887 nucleotides) under Hevea brasiliensis (rubber tree). The record is from RNAcentral. Lineage: Eukaryota; Viridiplantae; Streptophyta; Magnoliopsida; Malpighiales; Euphorbiaceae.